RNAcentral lists this long non-coding RNA (328 nucleotides) under Homo sapiens (human). RNAcentral's name for it is "HSALNT0013597". The record is from RNAcentral. Lineage: Eukaryota; Metazoa; Chordata; Mammalia; Primates; Hominidae.
UUGGCUUUCUGCACCUGACGAGAACCACUAGGCCUAUCUGAGGAGGGAAAUAUAUGGGCUUUCCUGACUCCAAGUGGCAGCCCCGGGGCGAGCAUGUGAUGUCAAGCUGGGCAGAGGAAAGCGGAGCUGUGCACCGGCCUGUGUACUCAGAGCUCACCUGGAAUGCCUCUGGUUGCUGAAGGGCUGGAUGGAGACUCUGAGACAACCUGAUGGAUCAUCUCAUAAACAGAGCCUGCAGGAAGGAAAAGAAAAUUAUGCCAGCAUAAUGCACUUACGAGAAAUAGAUACGUGCGGUGCAGGGAGAAAUGCUUUGAUAUUAAAAUUUUUG